UCCGUAGGCGGUGUGGCAAGUCGGAAGUGAAAUCUCUGGGCUUAACCCAGAGGCUGCUUCCGAAACUGCCGUGCUAGAGUGUGAGAGAGGCGAGUGGAAUUGCGGGUGUAGCGGUGAAAUGCGUAGAUAUCCGCAGGAACAUCCGAGGCGAAAGCGGGCUCGCUGGAUCACAACUGACGCUGAGGGACGAAAGCUAGGGGAGCAAACAGGAUUAGAUACCCUGGUAGUCCUAGCCCUAAACCAUCAGGACUUGGGGUUUGCCCUGUACGGGGCAAGUCCCGUAGCUAACGCGUUAAGUCCUGCGCCUGGGGAGUACGGUCGCAAGGCUGAA
RNAcentral lists this ribosomal RNA (331 nucleotides) under uncultured bacterium. RNAcentral describes it as "bacterial SSU rRNA". It matches the Rfam family "Bacterial small subunit ribosomal RNA", at positions 568 to 898 of the family's 1533-position model. The record is from RNAcentral.